AUUUCUGUAGAGCAGGUUGUUGCCCUGGAUGCCCAAAAUAUUGUAGCUGUUUCAUGUGGAGAAGCUCAUACGUUAGCGCUAAAUGACAAAGGCCAGGUGUAUGCUUGGGGUCUCGAUUCUGAUGGACAGCUUGGCCUGGUAGGAUCAGAGGAAUGCAUCAGAGUACCCAGAAAUAUUAAAAGUUUGUCAGAUAUCCAGAUUGUACAGGUUGCUUGUGGUUACUAUCAUUCACUUGCACUUUCUAAAGCAAGUGAAGUCUUCUGUUGGGGACAGAAUAAAUAUGGCCAAUUGGGUUUAGGUACUGACUGUAAAAAGCAAACUUCACCGCAGCUGCUUAAGUCUUUGCUUGGAAUCCCUUUCAUGCAAGUUGCAGCAGGAGGAGCCCAUAGUUUUGUACUCACCCUUUCUGGAGCUAUCUUUGGAUGGGGACGCAACAAGUUUGGUCAGCUAGGUCUUAAUGAUGAAAAUGAUAGGUAUGUUCCUAAUUUACUAAAGUCACUAAGAUCUCAGAAAAUAGUUUAUAUUUGUUGUGGAGAAGAUCAUACUGCUGCUCUAACCAAGGAAGGUGGAGUGUUUACUUUUGGAGCUGGAGGGUAUGGUCAGUUGGGCCAUAAUUCUACCAGUCAUGAAAUAAACCCAAGGAAAGUUUUUGAACUUAUGGGAAGCAUUGUCACUCAGAUUGCUUGUGGACGGCAGCACACUUCUGCUUUUGUUCCUUCAUCAGGACGAAUUUACUCUUUUGGGCUUGGUGGUAAUGGGCAGCUGGGAACCGGUUCAACAAGCAACAGGAAAAGUCCCUUUACUGUAAAAGGAAAUUGGUACCCUUAUAAUGGGCAGUGUCUACCAGAUAUUGAUUAUGAAGAAUAUUUCUGUGUAAAAAGAAUUUUCUCAGGGGGAGAUCAAAGCUUUUCACAUUACUCUAGUCCCCAGAACUGUGGGCCACCAGAUGACUUCAGAUGUCCUGAUCCGACAAAGCAGAUCUGGACAGUGAAUGAAGCUCUAAUUCAGAAAUGGCUGAGCUAUCCUUCUGGAAGGUUUCCUGUGGAGAUAGCCAAGUAAGAAAAGCAUUUUGGGCCAGGCACAGUGGCUCAUGCCUGUAAUCC
This 1103-nucleotide long non-coding RNA is filed under the name Pan troglodytes (chimpanzee). RNAcentral describes it as "long non-coding RNA NONPTRT002203". Lineage: Eukaryota; Metazoa; Chordata; Mammalia; Primates; Hominidae. The record is from RNAcentral.